Long non-coding RNA from Lagopus leucura (white-tailed ptarmigan), 3889 nucleotides. RefSeq lists it as uncharacterized. The transcript is spliced from 2 exons. The record is from RefSeq and is a predicted model, not a curated record. NCBI's taxonomy places the organism in Eukaryota, Metazoa, Chordata, Aves, Galliformes, Phasianidae.
AAGGAGACUGCCCUGAGUGGAUAAAGUGAAGUAUUAGUCAGGUUAGUGUUAGAGAAAGGAAAAACUCUCCAGGUCCCAUCCACAUUGCUCCCAUGCCCUCCGUAAUCGAGAGCGCAUCCUCUCUCCAGGGCCCUGCACAGAUUCAGCAGCACGGCCACUCCCCUUCUCUGGAGAGGUCACUGCCGCUUGCGUUGCUUUACGAAUUGAAGGGGGAGGAAAGUUAUCUAAGGGAUCCCGUUUAUGAUUUUUCUACUCGUCUUUCCUUUUUCUUUUGAACUUCGUCUCCUUCUUGUGAGGAAGUUUUUUCUUCUUUUUGCACCCAUUAAGUGACAGAAGCCAAUUCUGUUUCAGAAAAAGGACUCUUACUGUUUACAUAUAAAUUGAAGGUCUGACAGGCCCAACCUUUGUCAGUCCCCUAUUUUGGUCAAAAUAAUGAUUUUGCCUGUAGUGGCUCUCUAGGCUAUGUCUGUAUACAGUAUUUAAACAUCUUUUCCCUACUUUUGGGAUUAUUUCCCAUUUCUGAAGCCUCUUUCCCAAGGGGCUAUCUCUAGGCAUGAACUUGGGGACCCUUUUCCUCUGUUCUAUGGGAGCUCCUAUUCCCCAUUCCUCCAGAACGCUGCUGUGAACUCCCCAGCUCACAGGUUACCACUCUCUGAUUCUCGGAUUUAGGGCCGAUCCCUCCGGAGCACCUUGCUCCGAUUCCCGGAUUCAAUAGGGGUGUACUGCUGGCACUUUGUCAAGCGUCCAGGGUACCGCACACCACCAGCUCCCUCCUGAGACUCACCCGAGUCCCCCCGACCCCCAAGGCAAGAAUCAAAUUCCCUUACCUUGGUCCGUGCAUGAAGUUACCGGGUCUGCAGGGGUCGAUACCGUGCCUACCUGCCCCUUGGCUUUCACAGAGCCUGUCUUUGCGUAACAGUCUCGGUUUCCUAUCCCUAACCCUAACCCUAGAGGCCAUCCCAAGGAAUCUCCUCACCACCUAGACAGGACCGCUAAAAUCAGCGGGGUGCACCUAUCCUGUCCAGGGCAGCAAAGGAGGCGAUAAUGAUCCCGGACGAGCCCCCAAAUUGUUGGAAAUAUCCAAACAGUUUAUCAGGCCGGUAUCUCUGACCAAGCAGAUUUUAUUUGCGAUUGCAGUGGCGGGCCUCCUGCACGCAGGAGAGCAUGCAGAAAACAGCCUUACAUCGUUUAUGCCCUAUUACUCGACGCUUCUCUCUUUCUCCCCUGGCUCCUCAUUGGCUCAGUACUUCAGGUUCACAAUCUUCCUGACGCUCAACUAAACACACAGAUACUGGCGAACCAUAAAUUUUUGCUCGCUAAGCAAAUCUCGCUAAUGAGUUAACUUUUCACAUUUGCUCAUUCAACAUUCAGUCAUUGUUUCUGGACAUCUGCUCGUCCUUGCAUGGAGAUAAGCUUGGAAGGAGGAUAGGGCAGAGUAUCUUGAUGCCUGCCUGGGUUGCAUCCCAGCCUACCCACAGAGCAAGGCAAUUCAGCCUUGUGUGGAGGCCCUGGCUUCUUUGAUGUUUGUGAAGUCUGUUUUUCUUUUGCUGAGGGUCUCUUAUCCAAGCAGAACAGCCCCACAAUAUGCUUUCUAGUCCAUAAUACUAUACCUAUACUGUUUGGAACAUUUAGAAACUACUACAGUUUACGAGCAAGAAGUAAUCACACAAUUCAGCAACGGUAUUUCUAAGGUGUGUUACUAACAUAUAUGCUAUUCCUACUUUUUCACAUCAGCUAUUUCUAAGGACAAGUUACAAAAUACAAACGUAUUUUGCUCUACUUCUUCAGAUCAGAUCUUCCCCCUUUUUAAUAUCUAACGCAGAAACAACAUUCCAUUCCUACGCCCGUGUGCCCUGGUGGGCCUGUUUAGAUUAGGAUCUCGUGAAGGCAGAGAGUCUGAGCUCAGAGAAUUCCUCUAGGAAUGAGAUGAGAUGUUACCUACUCUCUGAGCCUUCAGUGGUAUUCCAGAGCUGGGGUUUGUGAAUGGAGGACGGUACGUAGCCUCUGAAUUAUUCCUGCUCACAAAAUUCAGCCCAUGCUAAAACCUCCUGGUUCAUAAGCGUAUGAACUUGAUCAGACAUAGACCAUAUGUUUAUUUAGAACGAGACUGUGUAUAUUAUCCCCCACACAGACCCAGCUUUAUCCCACAGACCAGGAGUAGCGCGAUGACUGAUGUAGAUCGGGGAUUGUGGCAUGUAUUUAACACCACUGCGUGCCUUUUUGUUUGUAGGGCCCCUCUCUCUCUCUGUGCAGAAUGAUUACUCCUCAAAGCGUCGUUCUUCUGUGAGGCUCUUCAUUGUGGUUCUCAGUGCCAGCCCUGGCUGUGCACUCUGCCGUUUGAGUUUGUACCAGGUAUACGUAUGCUGUCUGAAAUGCGGAGAGACAGAUCUCCAAAAACCUUGGAACUAGCAGCUCACGCCAGCAUAUUAUUACAGGCUGGUCCCGGCUUUCUAGGGAGAGCAAGGCUGCUGCCACUGCGAGUUUCUCCACGUCACUUGGGCGCCGCUGCUGCAUGUGCGCGUUGUUGCUGAACGCUUGGUGAAACAGAGCAGAGUCUGGUCCUUUAGGAUGCGAGUGGGCGCUGAUGGCAGUAGAAGACACUGUAGUCAUCAAGGUGUCUUCAGCGCAAGAACCUCUGGGGGGCUGAGGUGCAUCCUGCCUCAUCACUGGUGGCUGUUACCCUGACGUCAGAAAAGGCUGUCAAAUGGACAAAAGUGCUUCAUGGAAUCACUCUCCCUCUUCACUGCUCCACCUGCCCCUUUCUGCAUUGACGGUCCUAAUCACACAUUGGUCUUGGUGCUCCUGAGGCCAAAGGUGAACCCAGCAGGGCAUGGGCACCACUGACUUAUACUGCCUUCCUCUCCUGCUGGCUCCUGCACGCUUCCCGGUGGGACAGGAUGGUCCUCAGGUGCCUCUCCAUUGAGUCUAUUUCAGCCUAUAUGUGUCGGAGCAAGUCAGAAACAUUGAUGUCAUCCUUUCCCCGAUGCUCUGUUCUUAUGGAGGCUGAGGCUGUUGCUCCCAUUUCCCGGAAGUGACAGAACGUGGGCACACUGAAAGGGAUGGAGACUCAUUUUGCAGAGCAUUGCCCUACAGAGCAAGCCCCUGCAGGGCUCCCAGCACCUCAGUGCAUCUGAUGCAUCUCAGUAGCUCAUCUGUCCCCAUAGUCGUCUUCCUCUUCUCCAGAGGCCAGGGGCAAUGCUCUGCAGGCUCAGGAUGCCAGUGUGCUUCAAGACAUCCAUGAGGAUCCAGGUUACAUAUCUUUGGGCAAGACUGUCCCAGAGGUGGCCCAGGGUGGGGUGCAAGCUGAAGACUUUCUGCUUGGGGCCGGGGGACUGCUGAUCUGGGUCCUUUGGAGUGACAACCUUGCUGACCCUGUGCUGGAUCCAUCUGAGGUGUUCAGAAAGCCUCAGCUGGCCAGAAGGGCCAGUUGGAGGCACAGCACGGGGCAUUAAUGCACAGCUGCUGCUCAUGGGAUGCCGUCAUUUCUUCCCCAUCCUCAGUAGUUACGUGGCAGGUAGGUACACCAAGUCAGCAGAGCCAAUUGAAGGCACGGUGAUGGGUAUCAAAGAGCAGCUGCUGCUUACGUGGCAUGCCCUCUUUUGGUCCCCAUCCGCCGUUGUUACAUGGCAGGUGGAUAGAGAGAGCCAGCAGGGCCAGUUGAAGGCACGGUGCUGGGUAUCAAUGAGCAGCUGCACCUCAAGAACCACCGGCAUUUUGUUGCCAUUCCCACACUGAUGGGACAGCUGGUUAAGCCAUACCAGCAGGGCCCGCUCGAGGUCCUGGUCUCAACUGGAUGCUGCUGCUGAGGAAGGAGUGGCUUUUUGUCCCGAUUACUGCAGACAUGGCGGUAGCCAGAAGGUUUUGGAAAUAAAUAUAUGUGUAUAUCUAC